GACUAUUUGAUACAACUAAAGAUCAGUCUGAGCUGCUCUAUGGGAUGUGAGUGUCCAGAACUACUUUGAAAACACAGCAGAAAGGUUGACAAAUAUUAACAGUUUUUGAUGAGGCAGUGAGAACUGCAGCUCGGUUUCCUGUUAUGAGGAGUGGCACGUGGUGUGGUCUUCUGUUGACGUCGCUCAUCUGCUUCAAGUUUCGAUGAGUUGUGCAUUCAGAGACGCUCUCCGGCAAACAUCGGUUGUAACGAGUUUGACUUGCUAACAAAUCAACCCAGUCUGGCCAUUCUCUACUCAACCCUGACAUCAACAAGGACCAGAGCGGACAUGUAAGACAGCUGAUAGCCAUCUGACCGGGAAACACUAAAUCACAGAUGAAACAGCAAGAGGGAAACUGUAAAUCACAUAUUACAAAGAGCCUGCUGAAAGCGCAGGAACAUUGCUUCGCCAUGAGAUUGUCCCUCAUACACUGCCUUCAAAGCUGGCUCAGGCAGGAAGCAGUCAUUCCUAUUUCCUGUCUACGCCACCCAGGGACCAUGGCACAACGGAGGUGUGAAGGAAAAUCACUUCUUUUUUUUUAUGGUUGGAUAUAUUAAUUCUCCCAAGGACACGCAUAUCUAUUGUGAUUGUACUCAUGACUGAGCCGAUGAAAAGAGAUUACAAUAGCACAGGAAUCACAUUUGUAUGUAUGUGAACUCUGGGCGUGAUAAAGCUGUUGUCGUGGAAACACUGAUGAUGGGUUUGUUGGUGUCAUGGUUGGUUUGGUUGAAAGUUAAACAAAGGAAGACAAAGGUCUUUUCCAAACUGUACAAACCCCUUGUAUAACUGAGUGUAUUUAUG
This is a long non-coding RNA of Pundamilia nyererei, 840 nucleotides long. RefSeq lists it as uncharacterized. Lineage: Eukaryota; Metazoa; Chordata; Actinopteri; Cichliformes; Cichlidae. The transcript is spliced from 3 exons. The record is from RefSeq and is a predicted model, not a curated record.